CCGUAGGAGUCUGGUCCGUGUCUCAGUACCAGUGUGGGGGAUCUCCCUCUCAGGACCCCUACCUAUCGAUGUCUUGGUAAGCCGUUACCUUACCAACUAACUAAUAGGACGCAUAGCCAUCUUUUACCGAUAAAUCUUUAAUUAAAACUUGAUGCCAAGUCUCAAUACUAUAAGGUAUUAAUCUUCAUUUCUAAAGGCUAUCCCUCUGUAAAAGGUAGGUUCUAUACGCGUUACGCACCCGUGCGCCGGUCGUCAUCUGUAGCAAGCUACAAUGUUACCCCUCGACUUGCAUGUGUUAAGCCUGCCGCUAGCGUUCAUCCUGAGCCAGGAUCAAACUCU
Molecule: ribosomal RNA, 339 nt
Filed under: uncultured bacterium
Lineage: Bacteria
Description: partial 16S ribosomal RNA
Source: RNAcentral